Molecule: ribosomal RNA, 1005 nt
Filed under: Acinetobacter baylyi
Lineage: Bacteria; Pseudomonadati; Pseudomonadota; Gammaproteobacteria; Moraxellales; Moraxellaceae
Description: bacterial SSU rRNA
Rfam family: Bacterial small subunit ribosomal RNA
Source: RNAcentral
AGUCGAGCGGAGUGAUGGUGCUUGCACUAUCACUUAGCGGCGGACGGGUGAGUAAUGCUUAGGAAUCUGCCUAUUAGUGGGGGACAACAUCUCGAAAGGGAUGCUAAUACCGCAUACGUCCUACGGGAGAAAGCAGGGGAUCACUUGUGACCUUGCGCUAAUAGAUGAGCCUAAGUCGGAUUAGCUAGUUGGUGGGGUAAAGGCCUACCAAGGCGACGAUCUGUAGCGGGUCUGAGAGGAUGAUCCGCCACACUGGGACUGAGACACGGCCCAGACUCCUACGGGAGGCAGCAGUGGGGAAUAUUGGACAAUGGGGGGAACCCUGAUCCAGCCAUGCCGCGUGUGUGAAGAAGGCCUUAUGGUUGUAAAGCACUUUAAGCGAGGAGGAGGCUCUUUUGGUUAAUACCCAAGAUGAGUGGACGUUACUCGCAGAAUAAGCACCGGCUAACUCUGUGCCAGCAGCCGCGGUAAUACAGAGGGUGCAAGCGUUAAUCGGAUUUACUGGGCGUAAAGCGCGCGUAGGCGGCCAAUUAAGUCAAAUGUGAAAUCCCCGAGCUUAACUUGGGAAUUGCAUUCGAUACUGGUUGGCUAGAGUGUGGGAGAGGAUGGUAGAAUUCCAGGUGUAGCGGUGAAAUGCGUAGAGAUCUGGAGGAAUACCGAUGGCGAAGGCAGCCAUCUGGCCUAACACUGACGCUGAGGUGCGAAAGCAUGGGGAGCAAACAGGAUUAGAUACCCUGGUAGUCCAUGCCGUAAACGAUGUCUACUAGCCGUUGGGGCCUUUGAGGCUUUAGUGGCGCAGCUAACGCGAUAAGUAGACCGCCUGGGGGAGUACGGUCGCAAGACUAAAACUCAAUGAAUUUGACGGGGGCCCGCACAAGCGGUGGAGCAUGUGGUUUAAUUCGAUGCAACGCGAGAGCUUACCUGGCCUUGACAUAGUAGAAACUUUCAGAGAUGGAUUGGUGCCUUCGGGAUCUACAUACAGUGCUGCAUGGCUGUCGUCAGCUC